UUGAAUGAUCAAAUUUUGGUGUAUGGACUUUCCUUUUGUUCCCUUCAUUAUUCUAGCUUGGGUUAUCUAUACAGAGUAAGUCCACUGCCUGUUGUAAACCACAUAAGGGCCUUAGAGCCUCACUACAAUAUAAAUGGAAGCAGCAUAAUGGGGCAUGAAGCUCAGGAUGUGGACCUAGGUGGGUGCUCCUGGAAAUUGGGCAGAUCUUCAGAGCCUGGCCUGUGUCACCCAGGGAAGUCAGGACAGCAGGAGACUGUGCACCUGGUAGAUUGCAUGUGGACAAUAAAGGGGAGACAAGCUGUGGGAGCACUGUUGCACACAGAGAAACAGCCUGUGCAAAGUACUGUGGGAAGUCUAACAUGAUAUAGAGACCACGAGGUAUUCCUUGUGACUGAACAAAUCAUGUGGGGAAUUAAAAAGUAAUGGGAUGGGUUCAGUCUUUGUUUUUUUGUUUUGUUUUGUUUUGUUUUUUGUUUUUGUUUUUCCCCUGUGUGCAAUAGUGAGCCACUGAAGAUUACUGAGCAGGGGAAGGGCAUGAUCAAAUGUCCAUGUGUGAAAUACCCCUUACGUAGUCAUGGGAAGAUAAACUGGAAGAGUAAGGGCUAGAGGGAAGAAGUUGAGAAAGGAACUAUGGCAAUGGUUCAGGUGACAAGAGGUAAUAGAACUGGGAAGGCAGUGGAGGGAUCUUCAGGAAGCCAGGAAAGGGGAGGUACAAACUGGAGACUAGUUGGGUGUAAGAAGUGAGGGUAAAGUAACAAGUGAGAGUCUCCCCAAGGUUCUGGCUUAGGAAGCAGGGUGAAUGGCCCUGCAAUGUGCAGCAGAAAUAAAACAGGAAUGGACCCUGCUUGUGGGGUCUGAUUCCAGGUUCAGACUAUCCAAGUGGAAGCAUCCAAUAAGGAGUGUGCAAAUAUGGGUGUAAGCAUCUGCAUCUUCAGACUUGUCUCCUAGCAUCUCUCCACUGGUUCUUCUGGGGUUACAGGUUCUUAAAAAUGAUCUUGAAAACUUAACAUCUUGUCUCUAGAAAAUCCUGGACAGAGAAUUCCCUUCCUCUGAAAAGCCCUUGGUGACAAAACGCUGGUAAAGGAAGAGGACAACCUGGGGACAUCACAGUCCCAGGGUCCUGAGGACCUUCAGAUAGGACAUCAGAGAAUUCAGAGCCCAGACAGCUGGUGAACAGAACAUGGAGCUGACAAGUACAGCAGCCCCCAAAACCGAGGGCUUCAGCAACACUGGCUUCCGGAAUGAAGAACUUCUGGAAAACCAGAACAUAUCCGGAAACAGCUCAAUUAGGAGUCGAGUUGUACAAAGCCAGGAACAAGGAAACACCAAACAGGUAGAGCUGGACGGUGGUUGAGGGACUCAUCACCAUG
This is a non-coding RNA of Ictidomys tridecemlineatus (thirteen-lined ground squirrel), 1370 nucleotides long. Lineage: Eukaryota; Metazoa; Chordata; Mammalia; Rodentia; Sciuridae. The record is from RefSeq and is a predicted model, not a curated record.